This 687-nucleotide ribosomal RNA is filed under the name Diversispora trimurales. RNAcentral describes it as "partial large subunit ribosomal RNA". It matches the Rfam family "Eukaryotic large subunit ribosomal RNA", at positions 86 to 627 of the family's 3401-position model. Lineage: Eukaryota; Fungi; Glomeromycota; Glomeromycetes; Diversisporales; Diversisporaceae. The record is from RNAcentral.
AUGGCGGAUGAAGAGGGAAAAGCUCAAAUUUUAAAUCUACCUGGUUCCCAGGUCGAGUUGUAAUUUGAAGAAGCGAUAUCGGUGUGGAGGUCUGGUUCAAGUUCUUUGGAACAAGACAUCAUGGAGGGUGAGAAUCCCGUGCAUGAUCAGACCAAGAUACUUAAUAUUCGCUUUCUAAGAGUCGAGUUGUUUGGGAAUGCAGCUCAAAAUGGGUGGUAGACUUCACCUAAGGCUAAAUAUCAGCGAGAGACCGAUAGCGAACAAGUACUGUGAAGGAAAGAUGAAAAGAACUUUGAAAAGAGAGUUAAAUAGUACGUGAAAUUGUUGAAAGGGAAACGAUUGAAGUCAGUCAUGCUAGUGAAAAUUCAGUUUGGUGGGUUUUGGGUUCAGGAGUUGAGGCAGGGUCAAACCGUUUCUCUUUUGAACUUGGAAUUUGUCAGAUGCACUUUUUCUUUGGCAGGUCAGCGUCGAUUUCGGAGGUUUUAAAAUACUUGGGGAAAAGUAGCUCUGCUUCGGGAGAGUGUUAUAGACCUUGGGUGAUGCGGCCUGUGGGAUCGAGGAUUGCAGCAAAUGCCUUUGGCUUGUCGCCUGAUCUCUGGACGUCAUCUCGCUUGUAUCAACAUUCUUGGUACCGGUGAGUAAUGGUGCUCAUAGGUUAGAGCGAUCAAAAAUUUUGCUAAGGAUGCU